GUGAGGAAUAUUGGUCAAUGGGCGGGAGCCUGAACCAGCCAAGUCGCGUGAAGGAAGAAGGAUCUAUGGUUCGUAAACUUCUUUUGCAGGGGAAUAAAGUGCGGGACGUGUCCUGUUUUGUAUGUACCCUGAGAAUAAGGAUCGGCUAACUCCGUGCCAGCAGCCGCGGUAAUACGGAGGAUCCGAGCGUUAUCCGGAUUUAUUGGGUUUAAAGGGUGCGUAGGUGGUUUGAUAAGUCAGCGGUGAAAGUUUGCAGCUUAACUGUAAAAAUGCCGUUGAAACUGUCGGACUUGAGUGUAAAUGAGGUAGGCGGAAUGCGUGGUGUAGCGGUGAAAUGCAUAGAUAUCACGCAGAACUCCGAUUGCGAAGGCAGCUUACUAAGCUACAACUGACACUGAAGCACGAAAGCAUGGGGAUCAAACAGGAUUAGAUACCCCUGUAGUCC
RNAcentral lists this ribosomal RNA (445 nucleotides) under uncultured bacterium. RNAcentral describes it as "partial 16S ribosomal RNA". It matches the Rfam family "Bacterial small subunit ribosomal RNA", at positions 354 to 796 of the family's 1533-position model. The record is from RNAcentral.